UACGUAGGGUGCAAGCGUUGUCCGGAAUUAUUGGGCGUAAAGAGCUCGUAGGCGGUUUGUCGCGUCUGCUGUGAAAACUCGGGGCUUAACUCCGGGCCUGCAGUGGGUACGGGCAGACUAGAGUGCGGUAGGGGAGACUGGAAUUCCCGGUGUAGCGGUGAAAUGCGUAGAGAUCGGGAGGAACACCGGCGGCGAAGGCGGCUGCCUGGACCGGCCCUGACGCUGAGGCGCGAAAGCUAGGGGAGCAAACAGG
Molecule: ribosomal RNA, 253 nt
Filed under: uncultured bacterium
Lineage: Bacteria
Description: partial 16S ribosomal RNA
Rfam family: Bacterial small subunit ribosomal RNA
Source: RNAcentral